GGUGAGUAACACGUGGGCAAUCUGCCCUGCACUCUGGGACAAGCCCUGGAAACGGGGUCUAAUACCGGAUACUGAUCCUCGCAGGCAUCUGCGAGGUUCGAAAGCUCCGGCGGUGCAGGAUGAGCCCGCGGCCUAUCAGCUAGUUGGUGAGGUAACGGCUCACCAAGGCGACGACGGGUAGCCGGCCUGAGAGGGCGACCGGCCACACUGGGACUGAGACACGGCCCAGACUCCUACGGGAGGCAGCAGUGGGGAAUAUUGCACAAUGGGCGAAAGCCUGAUGCAGCGACGCCGCGUGAGGGAUGACGGCCUUCGGGUUGUAAACCUCUUUCAGCAGGGAAGAAGCGAAAGUGACGGUACCUGCAGAAGAAGCGCCGGCUAACUACGUGCCAGCAGCCGCGGUAAUACGUAGGGCGCAAGCGUUGUCCGGAAUUAUUGGGCGUAAAGAGCUCGUAGGCGGCUUGUCACGUCGGUUGUGAAAGCCCGGGGCUUAACCCCGGGUCUGCAGUCGAUACGGGCAGGCUAGAGUUCGGUAGGGGAGAUCGGAAUUCCUGGUGUAGCGGUGAAAUGCGCAGAUAUCAGGAGGAACACCGGUGGCGAAGGCGGAUCUCUGGGCCGAUACUGACGCUGAGGAGCGAAAG
Molecule: ribosomal RNA, 641 nt
Filed under: Streptomyces sp. KLBMP 1066
Lineage: Bacteria; Bacillati; Actinomycetota; Actinomycetes; Kitasatosporales; Streptomycetaceae
Description: bacterial SSU rRNA
Rfam family: Bacterial small subunit ribosomal RNA
Source: RNAcentral